AUGAACGCUGGCGGCGUGCCUAAUACAUGCAAGUCGAGCGAACGGACGAGAAGCUUGCUUCUCUGAUGUUAGCGGCGGACGGGUGAGUAACACGUGGAUAACCUACCUAUAAGACUGGGAUAACUUCGGGAAACCGGAGCUAAUACCGGAUAAUAUUUUGAACCGCAUGGUUCAAAAGUGAAAGACGGUCUUGCUGUCACUUAUAGAUGGAUCCGCGCUGCAUUAGCUAGUUGGUAAGGUAACGGCUUACCAAGGCAACGAUGCAUAGCCGACCUGAGAGGGUGAUCGGCCACACUGGAACUGAGACACGGUCCAGACUCCUACGGGAGGCAGCAGUAGGGAAUCUUCCGCAAAGGGCGAAAGCCUGACGGAGCAACGCCGCGUGAGUGAUGAAGGCCUUCGGAUCGUAAAACUCUGUUAUUAGGGAAGAACAUAUGUGUAAGUAACUGUGCACAUCUUGACGGUACCUAAUCAGAAAGCCACGGCUAACUACGUG
Molecule: ribosomal RNA, 496 nt
Filed under: uncultured bacterium
Lineage: Bacteria
Description: partial 16S ribosomal RNA
Rfam family: Bacterial small subunit ribosomal RNA
Source: RNAcentral